RNAcentral lists this ribosomal RNA (746 nucleotides) under uncultured cyanobacterium. RNAcentral describes it as "bacterial SSU rRNA". It matches the Rfam family "Bacterial small subunit ribosomal RNA", at positions 8 to 796 of the family's 1533-position model. The record is from RNAcentral. Lineage: Bacteria; Bacillati; Cyanobacteriota.
AGAGUUUGAUCAUGGCUCAGGAUGAACGCUGGCGGUCUGCUUAACACAUGCAAGUCGAACGGAACUUUUCGGAGUUCAGUGGCGGACGGGUGAGUAACGCGUGAGAAUCUGCCUUCUGGUCGGGGACAACCACUGGAAACGGUGGCUAAUACCGGAUGAGCCUACGGGUAAAAGAUUUAUUGCCAGAAGAGGAGCUCGCGUCUGAUUAGCUAGUUGGUGAGGUAAAGGCUCACCAAGGCAUCGAUCAGUGGCUGGUCUGAGAGGAUGACCAGCCACACUGGGACUGAGACACGGCCCAGACUCCUACGGGAGGCAGCAGUGGGGAAUUUUCCGCAAUGGGCGAAAGCCUGACGGAGCAAGACCGCGUGAGGGAGGAAGGCUCUUGGGUUGUAAACCUCUUUUCUUGGGGAAGAAAAAAAUGACGGUACCCAAGGAAUCAGCAUCGGCUAACUCCGUGCCAGCAGCCGCGGUAAUACGGAGGAUGCAAGCGUUAUCCGGAAUUAUUGGGCGUAAAGCGUCCGCAGGUGGCACUUCAAGUCUGCUGUCAAAGGUCGGGGCUUAACCCCGGGAAGGCAGUGGAAACUGAAGCGCUAGAGUGUCGUAGGGGUAGAGGGAAUUCCCGGUGUAGCGGUGAAAUGCGUAGAGAUCGGGAAGAACAUCGGUGGCGAAAGCGCUCUACUGGACGACAACUGACACUCAGGGACGAAAGCUAGGGGAGCGAAUGGGAUUAGAUACCCCCGUAGUCC